AUUGAACGCUGGCGGAAUGCUUUACACAUGCAAGUCGAACGGCAGCACGGACUUCGGUCUGGUGGCGAGUGGCGAACGGGUGAGUAAUGUAUCGGAACGUGCCCAGUCGUGGGGGAUAACGUAGUGAAAAUUACGCUAAUACCGCGUACGAUCUAUGGAUGAAAGCGGGGGAUCGCAAGACCUCGCGCGAUUGGAGCGGCCGAUAUCAGAUUAGGUAGUUGGUGGGGUAAAGGACCACCAAGCCAACGAUCUUUAGCUGGUCUGAGAGGACGGCCAGCCACACUGGAACGGAGACACGGUCCAGACUCCUACGGGAGGCAGCAGUGGGGAAUUUUGGACAAUGGGCGAAAGCCUGAUCCAGCCAUUCCGCGUGCAGGAUGAAGGCCCUCGGGUUGUAAACUGCUUUUGUACAGAACGAAAAGGUUUCUACUAAUACUAGGAGCUCAUGACGGUACUGUAAGAAUAAGCACCGGCUAACUACGUGCCAGCCGCCGCAGUAA
RNAcentral lists this ribosomal RNA (500 nucleotides) under uncultured bacterium. Its description in RNAcentral is "partial 16S ribosomal RNA". It matches the Rfam family "Bacterial small subunit ribosomal RNA", at positions 30 to 523 of the family's 1533-position model. The record is from RNAcentral.